Molecule: long non-coding RNA, 406 nt
Filed under: Rattus norvegicus (Norway rat)
Lineage: Eukaryota; Metazoa; Chordata; Mammalia; Rodentia; Muridae
Description: long non-coding RNA NONRATT026982
Source: RNAcentral
UUCAGGAGCUGGUUUGAUGCAUAAGCUCUCCUUUCAGGCAAUCCUCCUAGCCAUGUGCUUAAUCAUUUCUGCAUGCACAAGAUGGUUUGUGGGAGGAGAAUUAACCAGCAUCUUUACAUGUGCUUUGCUGAUCACAAUAGCUUAUGUUGUAAAGUCACUGUUUCUCAACCUUGCCAGCUAUUUCAAAGCCACCACCUGUGCUAGAUUUGACAGCACUUGAGGAAUACAUGUGAUGAAUGUCCUCCAUCUGGGAACAGUAAUUUGGAGUCUUCUUGGAAUCAACCACUUUAUUGAAAGGGAAUGGAUAACAGAAAAGUUAAUGUUGUUUUCUUUUAAAAAAAAAAACUCUAAUCUCCACAUGUAAUAGUAAUUGGUUCAUGACAAUAAUAUUAAUUUUCCUUUCUUU